CCUAACACAUGCAAGUCGAACGGCAGCAUAGGAGCUUCGCUCCUGAUAGCGAGUGGCGAACGGGUGAGUAAUAUAUCGGAACGUGCCCUAGAGUGGGGGAUAACUAGUCGAAAGACUAGCUAAUACCGCAUACGAUCUACGGAUGAAAGUGGGGGAUCGCAAGACCUCAUGCUCCUGGAGCGGCCGAUAUCUGAUUAGCUAGUUGGUGGGGUAAAAGCCUACCAAGGCGACGAUCAGUAGCUGGUCUGAGAGGACGACCAGCCACACUGGGACUGAGACACGGCCCAGACUCCUACGGGAGGCAGCAGUGGGGAAUUUUGGACAAUGGGGGCAACCCUGAUCCAGCAAUGCCGCGUGAGUGAAGAAGGCCUUCGGGUUGUAAAGCUCUUUUGUCAGGGAAGAAACGGUAGUAGCUAAUAUCUAUUACUAAUGACGGUACCUGAAGAAUAAG
Molecule: ribosomal RNA, 451 nt
Filed under: uncultured bacterium
Lineage: Bacteria
Description: bacterial SSU rRNA
Rfam family: Bacterial small subunit ribosomal RNA
Source: RNAcentral